Molecule: ribosomal RNA, 458 nt
Filed under: uncultured bacterium
Lineage: Bacteria
Description: partial 16S ribosomal RNA
Rfam family: Bacterial small subunit ribosomal RNA
Source: RNAcentral
CCUACGGGAGGCAGCAGUGGGGAAUAUUGCACAAUGGGGGAAACCCUGAUGCAGCGACGCCGCGUGAGUGAAGAAGUAUUUCGGUAUGUAAAGCUCUAUCAGCAGGGAAGAAAUAGCGACCUUUGGGUCGCCAGACGGUACCUGAUUAAGAAGCCCCGGCUAACUACGUGCCAGCAGCCGCGGUAAUACGUAGGGGGCAAGCGUUAUCCGGAUUUACUGGGUGUAAAGGGAGCGUAGACGGCAGCGCAAGUCUGAAGUGAAAUGCCGGGGCUUAACCCCGGAACUGCUUUGGAAACUGUGCAGCUAGAGUGCAGGAGAGGUAAGUGGAAUUCCUAGUGUAGCGGUGAAAUGCGUAGAUAUUAGGAGGAACACCAGUGGCGAAGGCGGCUUACUGGACUGUAACUGACGCUGAGGAACGAAAGCCAGGGUAGCAAAUGGGAUUAGAUACCCGGGUAGUC